UACAGAGGGUGCGAGCGUUAAUCGGAUUUACUGGGCGUAAAGCGUGCGUAGGCGGCUUUUUAAGUCGGAUGUGAAAUCCCCGAGCUUAACUUGGGAAUUGCAUUCGAUACUGGGAAGCUAGAGUAUGGGAGAGGAUGGUAGAAUUCCAGGUGUAGCGGUGAAAUGCGUAGAGAUCUGGAGGAAUACCGAUGGCGAAGGCAGCCAUCUGGCCUAAUACUGACGCUGAGGCACGAAAGCAUGGGGAGCAAACAGG
This 253-nucleotide ribosomal RNA is filed under the name uncultured bacterium. Its description in RNAcentral is "partial 16S ribosomal RNA". It matches the Rfam family "Bacterial small subunit ribosomal RNA", at positions 524 to 776 of the family's 1533-position model. The record is from RNAcentral.